UUGACGUUAGCAACAGAAGAAGCACCGGCUAACUCCGUGCCAGCAGCCGCGGUAAUACGGAGGGUGCGAGCGUUAAUCGGAAUUACUGGGCGUAAAGCGCAUGCAGGUGGUUUGUUAAGUCAGAUGUGAAAGCCCGGGGCUCAACCUCGGAACUGCAUUUGAAACUGGCAGACUAGAGUACUGUAGAGGGGGGUAGAAUUUCAGGUGUAGCGGUGAAAUGCGUAGAGAUCUGAAGGAAUACCGGUGGCGAAGGCGGCCCCCUGGACAGAUACUGACACUCAGAUGCGAAAGCGUGGGGAGCAAACAGGAUUAGAUACCCUGGUAGUCCACGCUGUAAACGAUGUCUACUUGGAGGUUGUGGCCUUGAGCCGUGGCUUUCGGAGCUAACGCGUUAAGUAGACCGCCUGGGGAGUACGGUCGCAAGAUUAAAACUCAAAUGAAUUGACGGGGGCCCGCACAAGCGGUGGAGCAUGUGGUUUAAUUCGAUGCAACGCGAAGAACCUUAC
RNAcentral lists this ribosomal RNA (506 nucleotides) under Vibrio vulnificus. Its description in RNAcentral is "bacterial SSU rRNA". It matches the Rfam family "Bacterial small subunit ribosomal RNA", at positions 469 to 974 of the family's 1533-position model. Lineage: Bacteria; Pseudomonadati; Pseudomonadota; Gammaproteobacteria; Vibrionales; Vibrionaceae. The record is from RNAcentral.